AGGGCGCAUGGUGAAUGCCUUGGCAUCAGGAGCCGAUGAAGGACGUGAUAAGCUGCGAUAAGCUUCGGGUAGGCGCACAUAGCCUGAGAUCCGAAGAUCUCCGAAUGAGGAAACUCAAGUACCUGGAGGAAGAGAAAGAAAAAUCGAUUUUCUUAGUAGCGGCGAGCGAAAGGGAAAGAGCCCAAACCGGAAACUUGUUUCCGGGGUUGAGGACAUAACAUAAAGAGAAGUAAUGGCUAAUUGAAGAGAACUGGAAAGUUCCACCGUAGAAGGUAAUAGUCCUGUAAAUGAAAGCUAGUAUAAUCGAGUUAUGAUCCAGAGUACCACGAGACACGUGAAACCUUGUGGGAAGCUGGGAGGACCACCUCCCAAGGCUAAAUACUACCUGAUGACCGAUAGUAGUACCGUGAGGGAAAGGUGAAAAGAACCCCGGGAGGGGAGUGAAAUAGAACCUGAAACCGUGUGCCUACAACCGCUCAGAGCCCCUUAUGAGGGUGAUGAGGUGCUUUUUGUAGAACGAGCCAACGAGUUACGGUAUGUAGCAAGGUUAAGUACUUAAGGUACGGAGCCGAAGGGAAACCGAGUCUGAAUAGGGCGACUAGUUGCAUGCCGUAGACCCGAAACCGGGUGACCUAUCCAUGGCCAGGUUGAAGCGAGGGUAAAACCUCGUGGAGGACCGAACCACGUUGCUGUUGAAAAAGCAUGGGAUGAGCUGUGGAUAGCGGAGAAAUUCCAAUCGAACCCGGAGAUAGCUGGUUCUCUCCGAAAUAGCUUUAGGGCUAGCGUCGAGUAUGAGUAGUGGAGGUAGAGCACUGAAUGGGCUAGGGGGCAUAGCGCUUACCGAACCUUAUCAAACUCCGAAUGCCACAUACUUUGAGCUCGGCAGUCAGACUACGAAUGAUAAGAUCCGUGGUCAAAAGGGAAACAGCCCAGAUCGUCAGCUAAGGUCCCAAAGUGUAAGUUAAGUGGGAAAGGAUGUGAGAUUUCUAAGACAACUAGGAUGUUGGCUUAGAAGCAGCCAUUCAUUAAAAGAGUGCGUAAUAGCUCACUAGUCGAGAGAUCUUGCGCCGAAAAUGUAACGGGGCUAAACUUACCACCGAAGCUACGGGCUUGAACUUAGUUCAAGCGGUAGGAGAGCGUCGUAACCGGGCUGAAGUCGUACCGUAAGGAGCGGUGGACUGGUUACGAGUGAGAAUGUUGGCAUCAGUAGCGAGAUGUGGGUGAGAAUCCCACAGGCCGAAAACCUAAGGUUUCCUCAGGAAGGUUCGUCCGCUGAGGGUUAGUCGGGACCUAAGCCGAGGCCGAAAGGCGUAGGUGAUGGACAACUGGUUGAUAUUCCAGUACCACUACCAUCGUUAUUAUCGAUGGCGUGACGCAGGAGGAUAGUGUGUGCUAGCUAUUGGAUGCUAGUCUAAGCGUUUAGGCAGUGAGAGUAGGCAAAUCCGCUCUCAUAAUGCUGAGGCGUGAUGGGGAAGGUUCUACGGAACCGAAGUACAUGAUUCCACGCUGCCAAGAAAAGCGUCUAGAGAGAGAAGUAGUGCCCGUACCGCAAACCGACACAGGUAGGUGAGGAGAGAAUCCUAAGGCCGGCGGAAGAAUUACAGUUAAGGAACUCGGCAAAUUGACCCCGUAAGUUCGCGAGAAGGGGUGCCUACGAGAGUAGGCCGCAGAGAAUAGGCCCAAGCAACUGUUUAGCAAAAACACAGGUCUCUGCUAAAGCGUAAGCUGAUGUAUAGGGGCUGACGCCUGCCCGGUGCUGGAAGGUUAAGGGGAACACUUAGCGCAAGCGAAGGUGUGAACUUAAGCCCCAGUAAACGGCGGCCGUAACUAUAACGGUCCUAAGGUAGCGAAAUUCCUUGUCAGGUAAGUUCUGACCCGCACGAAUGGCGUAAUGACUUGGGCACUGUCUCAACUGUAAAUCCGGCGAAGUUGUAGUGCGAGUGAAGAUGCUCGCUACCCGCGAUUGGACGGAAAGACCCCGUAGAGCUUUACUGUAGCUUAGCAUUGAGUUUUGGUAUUGUCUGUACAGGAUAGGUGGGAGACUAGGAAACCAGGGCGUCAGCCUUGGUGGAGUCAACCUUGGGAUACCACCCUGACAGUACUGAAAUUCUAACUGGCGGCCAUGAAUCUGGUCACAGGACAUUGUUAGGUGGGCAGUUUGACUGGGGCGGUCGCCUCCUAAAAAGUAACGGAGGCGCCCAAAGGUUCCCUCAGAACGGUCGGAAAUCGUUCGAAGAGUGCAAAGGCAGAAGGGAGCCUGACUGCGACACCCACAAGUGGAGCAGGGACGAAAGUCGGGCUUAGUGAUCCGGUGGUACCUCGUGGGAGGGCCAUCGCUCAACGGAUAAAAGCUACCUCGGGGAUAACAGGCUGAUCUCCCCCAAGAGUCCACAUCGACGGGGAGGUUUGGCACCUCGAUGUCGGCUCGUCGCAUCCUGGGGCUGAAGUAGGUCCCAAGGGUUGGGCUGUUCGCCCAUUAAAGCGGCACGCGAGCUGGGUUCAGAACGUCGUGAGACAGUUCGGUCCCUAUCCGUCGCGGGCGUAGGAAAUUUGAGAGGAGCUGUCCUUAGUACGAGAGGACCGGGAUGGACUGACCUCUGGUGUACCAGUUGUUCCGCCAGGAGCACAGCUGGGUAGCUAAGUCGGGAAUGGAUAAACGCUGAAAGCAUCUAAGCGUGAAGCCAACCUCAAGAUGAGAUUUCCCAUAGCGUAAGCUAGUAAGAUCCCUUGA
Molecule: ribosomal RNA, 2731 nt
Filed under: Clostridium perfringens
Lineage: Bacteria; Bacillati; Bacillota; Clostridia; Eubacteriales; Clostridiaceae
Description: bacterial LSU rRNA
Rfam family: Bacterial large subunit ribosomal RNA
Source: RNAcentral